Molecule: long non-coding RNA, 307 nt
Organism: Mauremys reevesii (Reeves's turtle)
Lineage: Eukaryota; Metazoa; Chordata; Testudines; Geoemydidae
Exons: 3
Source: RefSeq, a predicted model, not a curated record
GGUACUUUGGCUGUAGUUUCUUCUGUAUGUGUCUCAAUGGACAGCUUUCAACUGAGAUUAUAACUUCACAGUGGGUCCACCUUUGGUAUGGACACUGAUCUCUAGACAUAGCAUAAAAGAAAACAAUAUUGAAAGGAGACGUUGUAAAGCUGCAUCCCAGAGUCUGUGUAAACAUACGUGGAGAACUGAAGCUACAUUUGAAAGCUGCUGGAAGCAUUUUCUUCUUGGAAUAAUCCACACGUGCCCAUGGACAGAUCCAAACGCAUGUGCACACUCGGCUGUAUCCACUUCAUUUUUCCAACUCAGC